RNAcentral lists this long non-coding RNA (228 nucleotides) under Ananas comosus (pineapple). Its description in RNAcentral is "long non-coding RNA (ACOM_LNC025831)". Lineage: Eukaryota; Viridiplantae; Streptophyta; Magnoliopsida; Poales; Bromeliaceae. The record is from RNAcentral.
UAUAUUUUUUAAUAUAUAUAUAUAUAUAGUGUAGAACUACUAUGCUAUCGAAAAUAUAGAGGAUUUGAUGUUUUUGAAUUUUUGACCCUUUGAUUAAAAAUUGUAUGAUUGGGAUGAUUGCGGUCUCCCCUAGGGUUUAAUAAUACUCUUUUUAGGAUUGAGUGGUCCCUACAAGGUAAUAAUAAUAUUAAUCCAAAGAUAGGAAACGAUUAAAGGGAUUGAUCUAAG